This 1877-nucleotide long non-coding RNA is filed under the name Homo sapiens (human). RNAcentral describes it as "HSALNT0257334". The record is from RNAcentral. Lineage: Eukaryota; Metazoa; Chordata; Mammalia; Primates; Hominidae.
CAGGCUAAUAAAUUUUACCAGGAUUAUCCGGCCUAAUCACCGAAACAGCCCUGCCAUAUUUCUCCUCUGGGACAGGUAAGGAAACUGAGGUUGGAGGAGGACACCGGGAGCCUGGUCAGGCCGCUGGCAGCCUGGAGACCCAGAGGUCCAGGCAUUCACCGCCCUCCACACCACCGCCCCUCCCUCCCAGGCCCAGGAGUCUUCAUUCCCAGCAUAUUCACCUGUCAAUAACUCAGGCCCCCCGCAAUCGUCAGGUGAUGGCCUCCCUGUGUGUGGCUGCCAGGCUAGGGAUGGGGGUGUCUGUGCUUCCCUCGCCCAAGCUGAGAGUGGCCUGUUCCCAGGGGGCGGGCUUCCUCUUUGGUUGGCAGCCUGGAGUCUGGAGUGCAGGUGCCGGGCAGGCAGCACUGGGAGCGCUCGGCGACUUGGCUGGAGGCCGAAGGUGCCGCCCCUCGGGGACCAGAGCGUCUUUGCAAGCCCAUAGAAGAAACAGUGAAGAGUAAGAGGAAAAGGCUGCCAGAAGGGGAGUCUCACAACAGGAAGAAGUAACAGCUACGCAUAGAGGAAGGGAAGCUGUUCAAGAGCGGGCCCAGGAACACAACACAGAACCAUUGUCGUGGUUGGGGAACUCCAGAGUCCCACAUCACAGUUCAGCAUGUGCCUCAGGAGCUUCAGCAAGUCUUUCGUGGAAGGAGAGUCUGCCGGUGACGGGGGAAGCAGGCCAUCAGCCCGCCCAGCUUCAUCUCAGGCCGCUUCCAACACCGCCAAGCAAACUCCCUUGGCAAGAUCCAUGCAAGGCCGCGGCUGACCACCGGGAGGCAGCAGCCUACUCUGCAAGGCACUUUCUUUACCCGACCCCCACCCCCUUUUAACAGGUGGCAGGAAACCUGCUGGCCCAGCCAUCUGCCGCACCCACCCUUCACUCCCAGUCCCAUCUCCCCAUAGCACAGAUUUCCCUAUCAUGAGCCCUGACGUGACCUGGGUGUCCUCUUGCCUUCCUCUGCCCAAGGAAUUCCUACAGAGAUUCUUUCUCUAUCCUCCUUUGUACAUUUCCAAGGAAUUGUUUCCCCAGGGCCCCUCCCCUUGAAGAAAUUAGACAGGAAGCUGGAGUAGAUGGUUCCCUCUUUCCCACCUCUCACACUCCCAAGCUCUGGUUAACUCUCUGUGGGCCAGUGGCUAGAUUCCCCAACACAGAUGACAACUGAACAAUACACAUGCAGCGUAAGAAUGUUGUCGCUGCCACCAGCCACUUACAGAUACACCAUUGCUAAGGUCCACCCAACUGGACUGUUUCCCCCUCCCAUAGACUAAGCCCCAAAGGCCAAAAAGUAAAACCCGCUACCCCAAACCUGCCUGUAACUGUUUGACCAGAGGCCAGCUGUCCCAGGAUGCGGUUAAGACGUCUACUUUGCACAAGAGAACUGGCAAGAAAAACAUCUCCAGGAAGCGGUCAGACACAUGGCACAAAGGACCCCCCCCCUUUUCUUUUUCCUUCACCCUGAUCCAGUUCUAUGUCCUAUAAAACCUUGCUCUAGCCUAUAAGUGGGGCUGCCUUCUCUGCUUUUGUCAAGAGGUAGCCAGGCAGGACUGACAAUAAAUCAGCUUGCCUGAACUUGGGUCUAUUGGCCUCAUUCCUUUCUUGGCUGUCCUUCCAAUUAUCCCUUACAACCAUCUCCCACCCUCUGAAGGCACUGCACCCAAUACCCCGCCAUUCACAGUCUGGUCAGGGCUGUCCGUGCAGGACUUGUCAUGGCUGAGGACCAGCUAGCCUCAAGCCACUCUGAAGUCAGCUUGCUGUUUCCCCUGGAGCCUGGAAAUACAUCCCUCUUCAGGUAAACAAAAGCAGAAAAAGCCCAGUGAACCCCACUGUAACAAAGAAA